RNAcentral lists this ribosomal RNA (253 nucleotides) under uncultured bacterium. RNAcentral describes it as "partial 16S ribosomal RNA". It matches the Rfam family "Bacterial small subunit ribosomal RNA", at positions 524 to 776 of the family's 1533-position model. The record is from RNAcentral.
UACAGAGGUGGCAAGCGUUGUUCGGAAUUACUGGGCGUAAAGGGCGCGUAGGCGGUUCGUUAAGUCCUGUGUGAAAUCCCCCGGCUCAACUGGGGAACUGCACAGGAAACUAGCGGGCUUGAGUUCGGGAGAGGGAAGCGGAAUUCUGGGUGUAGCGGUGAAAUGCGUAGAUAUCCGGAGGAACACCGGUGGCGAAGGCGGCUUCCUGGACCGACACUGACGCUGAGGCGCGAAAGCUAGGGGAGCAAACGGG